AGUGAACGCUGGCGGUAGGCCUAACACAUGCAAGUCGAACGGCAGCACAGUAAGAGCUUGCUCUUACGGGUGGCGAGUGGCGGACGGGUGAGGAAUACAUCGGAAUCUACUUUUUCGUGGGGGAUAACGUAGGGAAACUUACGCUAAUACCGCAUACGACCUACGGGUGAAAGCAGGGGAUCUUCGGACCUUGCGCGAUUGAAUGAGCCGAUGUCGGAUUAGCUAGUUGGCGGGGUAAAGGCCCACCAAGGCGACGAUCCGUAGCUGGUCUGGGAGGAUGAUCAGCCACACUGGAACUGAGACACGGUCCAGACCCCUACGGGAGGCAGCAGUGGGGAAUAUUGGACAAUGGGCGCAAGCCUGAUCCAGCCAUACCGCGUGGGUGAAGAAGGCCUUCGGGUUGUAAAGCCCUCUUGUUGGGAAAGAAAAGCAGCAGGUUAAUACCCCGCUGUUCUGACGGUACCCAAAGAAUAAGCACCGGCUAACUUCGUG
Molecule: ribosomal RNA, 492 nt
Filed under: uncultured bacterium
Lineage: Bacteria
Description: partial 16S ribosomal RNA
Rfam family: Bacterial small subunit ribosomal RNA
Source: RNAcentral